This 422-nucleotide ribosomal RNA is filed under the name uncultured bacterium. RNAcentral's name for it is "bacterial SSU rRNA". It matches the Rfam family "Bacterial small subunit ribosomal RNA", at positions 355 to 774 of the family's 1533-position model. The record is from RNAcentral.
UGAGGAAUAUUGGUCAAUGGGUGCAAGCCUGAACCAGCCAUCCCGCGUGAAGGACGACUGCCCUAUGGGUUGUAAACUUCUUUUGUAUAGGGAUAAACCUACCCUCGUGAGGGUAGCUGAAGGUACUAUACGAAUAAGCACCGGCUAACUCCGUGCCAGCAGCCGCGGUAAUACGGAGGGUGCAAGCGUUAUCCGGAUUUAUUGGGUUUAAAGGGUCCGUAGGCGGACUUAUAAGUCAGUGGUGAUAGCCUGUCGCUUAACGAUAGAACUGCCAUUGAUACUGUAAGUCUUGAGUAUAUUUGAGGUAGCUGGAAUAAGUAGUGUAGCGGUGAAAUGCAUAGAUAUUACUUAGAACACCAAUUGCGAAGGCAGGUUACCAAGAUAUAACUGACGCUGAGGGACGAAAGCGUGGGGAGCGAACA